Oncorhynchus kisutch (coho salmon) is the source of this 1871-nucleotide long non-coding RNA. Lineage: Eukaryota; Metazoa; Chordata; Actinopteri; Salmoniformes; Salmonidae. The record is from Ensembl.
UCUUUCAGCAUCAGUAGAACACGCCUGACUGCAAGACCACCUAUUCAAGACCUGCAGUUGUCUCAGGGGUGCCCUACUGAACCAGCAAGCAAAGACAUCAGGAUGCAUUACAGCUUUGAUUUUGCUCAACAAGUGCAUUAUCCUUCUGACCCUAUGCAGCCAGGUCCCAUCUACUUUUUAACUCCUCGCAAGUGUGGCUUGUUUGGUGUCUGCUGUGAAGGAAUGCCACAACAAGUCAACUACUUGAAUGAUGAAGGCAUGUCAUCCAGCAAAGGAAGCAGCGCAGUCAUCAACUACAUGCACCAGUUCUUCACCAACUACGGAGUUGGGGAAACACGUGUGGACCUGAAUUGUGAUAACUGCAGUGGCCAAAACAAGAACACGUUUGUGCUCUGGUAUUGUGCCUGGCGGACCAUGCACAAGCUCCACCACAGUCUGGACCUUAACUUCCUGAUCACAGGCCACACCAAGUUUGCUUGGUGCUUUGGCCUCAUCAAGCAGCGCUUCAGAAAGACCAGAGUGAAUACUUUGUCUGAGAUGGCUGGUGUUGUGAAAGACAGCACAGUGACAGGGGUCAACAUCCCACAGUUGUUUAGACUAGAUGAUGGUUCGGUGCUGGUGAAAAGCUAUGGCUGGCAACCACACCUGACUCCGUACUUCAGGCCGCUGCCACAGAUCAAGCAGUAGCAGCACUUCAAGUGAAUAUCAUUUUCAUUGCAUUGUAUGAGGUUAUUCUUCUUAUCUAAACUUGAGAGGUGAAUUGAUGUUGUGCAAGGUUUUAAUGUUUUCACAUUUUUAUUUCCUGUUUUCCAGCUUUGAUGCUCUGGAGCCUGGUGUUGUCGCCAAGGAGCGUUCAGUCAGGACCAGGUUUCAGCUGCUGCACAACGCUGACAUCCUUCCUCCCAUAGAUGGUCUGCCUGUACAAGCACCACCUGGACUGGACAAAUCUAGACAAACAUAUAUUUUUGAGAAGAUCAGGUAGUGUUGCGACAAAGAGGCUUUGGACAUCACAUGCCCUGCACCAAAGUCAAGGGCAGGACAGGAACAGGCUCUCCGAAUAUAGAUUCCCUUGUUCAUGCGUGGUUCGGACAGACCAGUCAUCAGCACUAUCUGCAGUACUUCUAUUCAAAUGACAAACACACACGCCAUACUUUGCUGCUACUAUUAUGUUUAUUAUCCUGCUGCUCAGCCACUACCCCUGACUGUAUGAAUACAAUUACCUCGUCUAUCACUAUCGUUAUUGAUCUUGUUUGUGUACAUACUGUAUAUUAUUUUAUUUAUAUCGACAUUAUCUAUUUCUGAUAUUGCUGCUAUGCAAGUAACAAUUUUUGUACUGUUUACACCUUCUCUGGCGAUCCGUCCACUUUGCAAGACUUAGCAAAAUAUUGAUAUAUAAAAUGAAUAUUGAUAUGUGUGGUUGUAACAUGAUUUUGUGACAUACCACACACUCACUAAACACAAAUGUUUUGUUUGUAAAUUAUGUCUGAGGGUUGGAGUGUGCCCCUGGCUACCCGUCAAUAAAAAAUAUAAAAAAUGGGCCUGUCUGGUUUAAAGAAUUUGAACUUUUGAUACUUAAGUACAUCUUAGCAAUUCCAAGUACUCAAGUAGUAUUUUAUUGGGUGACUUUUACUUUAGUCAUUUUCUAUUAAGGUAUCUUUACAUCUGGACACUUUCUGUUCACCUAGAAAUGUUCCUUAUUGUAGGCUACUACCACUUUUAGUCUUAAUCUUUACUACACUACUCAUUGUUUAGCACAUGACCUCACAUGUGAAUCCUUAAGCCAGCCCCACCCAUCUCUUUAAGAGGGUGUGAACAAUGCUGAAAGGGUGUAGACAAAGGAGAGCUCUCCAGUCAGUGCCAAAACAUUAAAA